RNAcentral lists this ribosomal RNA (501 nucleotides) under Pratylenchus penetrans. RNAcentral's name for it is "eukaryotic LSU rRNA". It matches the Rfam family "Eukaryotic large subunit ribosomal RNA", at positions 463 to 874 of the family's 3401-position model. Lineage: Eukaryota; Metazoa; Nematoda; Chromadorea; Rhabditida; Pratylenchidae. The record is from RNAcentral.
CAACCAACAAUGUUGUGCAUUUGCAGGUCGAGUGCGCCGAGACUUUCGAGAAGGCGAUAUGAGCUCAAUUUUGAGGCCAGCUUGCUGGUACCCGGAUUGGAGGAAUGUUGUUCGUUUUGGAUGUGAAUGGGGGAAAGGUUUUCGGGCUCGUAUGGGUUCGAAUUGGUGUGGGGUGGCAGUUGCAUGCAACAUGUGCCUUCUGCCAAUUCGGUCCUGUGCGAGCUCACAAUCCCACUCUCGGCGUAAAAGUUGGUCAUCUAUCCGACCCGUCUUGAAACACGGACCAAGGAGUUUAUCGUGUGCGCAAGUCAUUGGGUGUUGAAAACUCAAAGGCGCAAUGAAAGUAAAGAAUCCGCAAGGAUACGACGUGUGAUCUGAGCAAUCACGAUUGCCUGGAGCAACAUGGCCCCAUUCUGGUCGCUUGCGACGGGGUGGAGGAAGAGCGAAAGUUGGUGAACUAUUCCUGAGCAGGAUGAAGCCAGAGGAAACUCUGGUGGAAGU